This 262-nucleotide ribosomal RNA is filed under the name uncultured Tulasnellaceae. Its description in RNAcentral is "partial large subunit ribosomal RNA". It matches the Rfam family "Bacterial large subunit ribosomal RNA", at positions 1789 to 2051 of the family's 2925-position model. Lineage: Eukaryota; Fungi; Basidiomycota; Agaricomycetes; Cantharellales; Tulasnellaceae. The record is from RNAcentral.
GGAGGCCCCGACUGUUUACCUAAAACACAGCUUUUUGCUACGAAUAAUAUUCUGUGUAUAGAAAGCGAAUUUUGCCCAAUGCCAUUAAUAUAAAGUUGGUAAGCGCAUAGCGUAUUUACUAACUGAAGUUCUGGUCAAUGGCGGUCUUAUCUAUGAGGAUCCUAAGGUAGCAAAAUUAAUUGUCCAUUAAAUGUGGUCCUGACUGAAUAAAGUAACGAUGGUCUCACUGUCUCUACAAGUAUCUCAGUGAAAUUGAAUUAGC